Molecule: ribosomal RNA, 799 nt
Filed under: uncultured Glomus
Lineage: Eukaryota; Fungi; Glomeromycota; Glomeromycetes; Glomerales; Glomeraceae
Description: SSU rRNA
Rfam family: Eukaryotic small subunit ribosomal RNA
Source: RNAcentral
AUCAACUUUCGAUGGUAGGAUAGAGGCCUNCCAUGGUGGUAACGGGUAAACGGGGUGUUAGGGCACGACACCGGAGAGGGAGCCUGAGAAACGGCUACCACAUCCAAGGAUGGCAGCAGGCGCGCAAAUUACCCAAUCCCGACACGGGGAGGUAGUGACAAUAAAUAACAAUACGGGGUUCUUUCGGAUCUCGUAAUUGGAAUGAGUACAAUUUAAAUCUCUUAACGAGGAACAAUUGGAGGGCAAGUCUGGUGCCAGCAGCCGCGGUAAUUCCAGCUCCAAUAGCGUAUAUUAAAGUUGUUGCAGUUAAAAAGCUCGUAGUUGAAUUUCGGGAUCAGAUUGUCGGUCGUGCCUCGGUACGCACUGGCAUUAUUGGUUCCUACCUUCUGAAGAACCGCGAUGUCAUUAAUUUGGUGUCGUGGGGAAUCAGGACUGUUACUUUGAAAAAAUUAGAGUGUUUAAAGCAGGCGCACGCUUGAAUACAUUAGCAUGGAAUAAUGAAAUAGGACGUUUGAUUCUAUUUUGUUGGUUUCUAGGAUCGACGUAAUGAUUAAUAGGGAUAGUUGGGGGCAUUAGUAUUCAAUUGUCAGAGGUGAAAUUCUUGGAUUUAUUGAAGACUAACUACUGCGAAAGCAUUUGCCAAGGAUGUUUUCAUUAAUCAAGAACGAAAGUUAGGGGAUCGAAGACGAUCAGAUACCGUCGUAGUCUUAACCAUAAACUAUGCCGACUAGGGAUCGGAUGAUGUUAAUUUUUUAAUGACUCAUUCGGCGCCUUACGGGAAACCAAAGUGUUUGGGUUC